AGAUUGAACGCUGGCGGCAUGCCUUACACAUGCAAGUCGAACGGCAGCACGGGAGCAAUCCUGGUGGCGAGUGGCGAACGGGUGAGUAAUACAUCGGAACGUGCCCAGUAAUGGGGGAUAGCCCGGCGAAAGCCGGAUUAAUACCGCAUACGACCUAUGGGUGAAAGCGGGGGAUCGCAAGACCUCGCGUUGUUGGAGCGGCCGAUGUCAGAUUAGCUUGUUGGUGGGGUAAAAGCCCACAAGGCGACGAUCUGUAGCUGGUCUGAGAGGACGACCAGCCACACUGGGACUGAGACACGGCCCAGACUCCUACGGGAGGCCAGCAGUGGGAAUUUUGGACAAUGGGCGCAAGCCUGGAUCCAGCCAUGCGCGUGUGGAAGAGGCCUUCGGUGUAAACCACUUUUGUACUAGGAAGAAACGGCUAACGAGUUAA
This 433-nucleotide ribosomal RNA is filed under the name uncultured soil bacterium. Its description in RNAcentral is "bacterial SSU rRNA". It matches the Rfam family "Bacterial small subunit ribosomal RNA", at positions 26 to 465 of the family's 1533-position model. The record is from RNAcentral.